This 468-nucleotide ribosomal RNA is filed under the name uncultured Bacteroidota bacterium. RNAcentral's name for it is "bacterial SSU rRNA". It matches the Rfam family "Bacterial small subunit ribosomal RNA", at positions 395 to 863 of the family's 1533-position model. The record is from RNAcentral. Lineage: Bacteria; Pseudomonadati; Bacteroidota.
UGCCGCGUGCAGGAAGACGGUCCUAUGGAUUGUAAACUGCUUUUAUUUGGGAAUAAACUCCUCUACGUGUAGAGGCCUGAAGGUACCAAAUGAAUAAGCACCGGCUAACUCCGUGCCAGCAGCCGCGGUAAUACGGAGGGUGCAAGCGUUAUCCGGAAUCAUUGGGUUUAAAGGGUCCGCAGGCGGACGUAUAAGUCAGUGGUGAAAUCUCUCGGCUUAACCGAGAAACUGCCAUUGAUACUGUACGUCUUGAAUUCGGUCGAAGUGGGCGGAAUAUGUCAUGUAGCGGUGAAAUGCUUAGAUAUGACAUAGAACACCGAUAGCGAAGGCAGCUCACUAGGCCUGGAUUGACGCUCAGGGACGAAAGCGUGGGUAGCGAACAGGAUUAGAUACCCUGGUAGUCCCGCCGUAAACUAUCAAUACUCGUUUUCAGCCGAUAUACAGUUGGAGACUAAGCGAAAGUGAUAA